This 2905-nucleotide ribosomal RNA is filed under the name Klebsiella oxytoca 10-5244. RNAcentral describes it as "bacterial LSU rRNA". It matches the Rfam family "Bacterial large subunit ribosomal RNA". The record is from RNAcentral. Lineage: Bacteria; Pseudomonadati; Pseudomonadota; Gammaproteobacteria; Enterobacterales; Enterobacteriaceae.
UUAAGCGACUAAGCGUACACGGUGGAUGCCCUGGCAGUCAGAGGCGAUGAAGGACGUGCUAAUCUGCGAAAAGCGUCGGUAAGGUGAUAUGAACCGUUAUAGCCGGCGAUGUCCGAAUGGGGAAACCCAGUGCAAUUCGUUGCACUAUCGUUAACUGAAUACAUAGGUUAACGAGGCGAACCGGGGGAACUGAAACAUCUAAGUACCCCGAGGAAAAGAAAUCAACCGAGAUUCCCCCAGUAGCGGCGAGCGAACGGGGAGCAGCCCGGAGUCUGAAUCAGCUUGUGUGUUAGUGGAAGCGUCUGGAAAGUCGCAGGGUACAGGGUGAUACUCCCGUACACUAAAACGCACAGGCUGUGAACUCGAAGAGUAGGGCGGGACACGUGGUAUCCUGUCUGAAUAUGGGGGGACCAUCCUCCAAGGCUAAAUACUCCUGACUGACCGAUAGUGAACCAGUACCGUGAGGGAAAGGCGAAAAGAACCCCGGCGAGGGGAGUGAAAAAGAACCUGAAACCGUGUACGUACAAGCAGUAGGAGCCCACUAGUUGGGUGACUGCGUACCUUUUGUAUAAUGGGUCAGCGACUUAUAUUCUGUAGCAAGGUUAACCGUAUAGGGGAGCCGCAGGGAAACCGAGUCUUAACUGGGCGUUAAGUUGCAGGGUAUAGACCCGAAACCCGGUGAUCUAGCCAUGGGCAGGUUGAAGGUUGGGUAACACUAACUGGAGGACCGAACCGACUAAUGUUGAAAAAUUAGCGGAUGACUUGUGGCUGGGGGUGAAAGGCCAAUCAAACCGGGAGAUAGCUGGUUCUCCCCGAAAGCUAUUUAGGUAGCGCCUCGUGAACUCAUCUUCGGGGGUAGAGCACUGUUUCGGCUAGGGGGUCAUCCCGACUUACCAACCCGAUGCAAACUACGAAUACCGAAGAAUGUUAUCACGGGAGACACACGGCGGGUGCUAACGUCCGUCGUGAAGAGGGAAACAACCCAGACCGCCAGCUAAGGUCCCAAAGUCAUGGUUAAGUGGGAAACGAUGUGGGAAGGCCCAGACAGCCAGGAUGUUGGCUUAGAAGCAGCCAUCAUUUAAAGAAAGCGUAAUAGCUCACUGGUCGAGUCGGCCUGCGCGGAAGAUGUAACGGGGCUAAACCAUGCACCGAAGCUGCGGCAGCGACGCUUAUGCGUUGUUGGGUAGGGGAGCGUUCUGUAAGCCGUUGAAGGUGGCCUGUGAGGGUUGCUGGAGGUAUCAGAAGUGCGAAUGCUGACAUAAGUAACGAUAAUGCGGGUGAAAAACCCGCACGCCGGAAGACCAAGGGUUCCUGUCCAACGUUAAUCGGGGCAGGGUGAGUCGACCCCUAAGGCGAGGCCGAAAGGCGUAGUCGAUGGGAAACAGGUUAAUAUUCCUGUACUUGGUGUUACUGCGAAGGGGGGACGGAGAAGGCUAUGUUGGCCGGGCGACGGUUGUCCCGGUUUAAGCAUGUAGGCGGAUGUUCCAGGUAAAUCCGGAACGUUAUUAACGCUGAGGUGUGAUGACGAGGCACUACGGUGCUGAAGUGACAAAUGCCCUGCUUCCAGGAAAAGCCUCUAAGCAUCAGGUAACAUCAAAUCGUACCCCAAACCGACACAGGUGGUCAGGUAGAGAAUACCAAGGCGCUUGAGAGAACUCGGGUGAAGGAACUAGGCAAAAUGGUGCCGUAACUUCGGGAGAAGGCACGCUGAUGGUAGGUGAAGUGACUUGCUCGUGGAGCUGAAAUCAGUCGAAGAUACCAGCUGGCUGCAACUGUUUAUUAAAAACACAGCACUGUGCAAACACGAAAGUGGACGUAUACGGUGUGACGCCUGCCCGGUGCCGGAAGGUUAAUUGAUGGGGUUAUCCUCGCGGAGAAGCUCUUGAUCGAAGCCCCGGUAAACGGCGGCCGUAACUAUAACGGUCCUAAGGUAGCGAAAUUCCUUGUCGGGUAAGUUCCGACCUGCACGAAUGGCGUAAUGAUGGCCAGGCUGUCUCCACCCGAGACUCAGUGAAAUUGAACUCGCUGUGAAGAUGCAGUGUACCCGCGGCAAGACGGAAAGACCCCGUGAACCUUUACUAUAGCUUGACACUGAACACUGGUCCUUGAUGUGUAGGAUAGGUGGGAGGCUUUGAAGUGUGGACGCCAGUCUGCAUGGAGCCGUCCUUGAAAUACCACCCUUUAAUGGCUGGUGUUCUAACGUGGGCCCGUGAUCGGGGUUGCGGACAGUGUCUGGUGGGUAGUUUGACUGGGGCGGUCUCCUCCUAAAGAGUAACGGAGGAGCACGAAGGUCAGCUAAUCCUGGUCGGACAUCAGGAGGUUAGUGCAAUGGCAUAAGCUGGCUUGACUGCGAGCGUGACGGCGCGAGCAGGUGCGAAAGCAGGUCAUAGUGAUCCGGUGGUUCUGAAUGGAAGGGCCAUCGCUCAACGGAUAAAAGGUACUCCGGGGAUAACAGGCUGAUACCGCCCAAGAGUUCAUAUCGACGGCGGUGUUUGGCACCUCGAUGUCGGCUCAUCACAUCCUGGGGCUGAAGUAGGUCCCAAGGGUAUGGCUGUUCGCCAUUUAAAGUGGUACGCGAGCUGGGUUUAGAACGUCGUGAGACAGUUCGGUCCCUAUCUGCCGUGGGCGCUGGAGAAUUGAGGGGGGCUGCUCCUAGUACGAGAGGACCGGAGUGGACGCAUCACUGGUGUUCGGGUUGUCAUGCCAAUGGCAUUGCCCGGUAGCUAAAUGCGGAAGAGAUAAGUGCUGAAAGCAUCUAAGCACGAAACUUGCCCCGAGAUGAGUUCUCCCUGACUCCUUGAGAGUCCUGAAGGAACGUUGAAGACGACGACGUUGAUAGGCCGGGUGUGUAAGCGCAGCGAUGCGUUGAGCUAACCGGUACUAAUGAACCGUGAGGCUUAACCUU